RNAcentral lists this ribosomal RNA (459 nucleotides) under uncultured bacterium. RNAcentral describes it as "partial 16S ribosomal RNA". It matches the Rfam family "Bacterial small subunit ribosomal RNA", at positions 29 to 507 of the family's 1533-position model. The record is from RNAcentral.
AGCGAACGCUGGCGGCAGGCCUAACACAUGCAAGUCGAACGAACCUUUCGGGGUUAGUGGCGGACGGGUGAGUAACACGUGGGAACGUGCCUUUAGGUUCGGAAUAACUCAGGGAAACUUGUGCUAAUACCGAAUGUGCCCUUCGGGGGAAAGAUUAAUCGCCUUUAGAGCGGCCCGCGUCUGAUUAGCUAGUUGGUUGAGGUAAUGGCUCACCAAGGCGACGAUCAGUAGCUGGUCUGAGAGGAUGAUCGGCCACACUGGGACUGAGACACGGCCCAGACUACUACGGGAGGAAGCAGUAGGGAAUGGUGCGCAAUGGGGGAAAGCCGGACGGAGAAAAGCGGCGUGAGUGAUGAAGGGUUUCGGAUCGUAAAACUCUGUUAUUAGGGAAGAAGAGAGGUGUAAGGAACUGUGCACAUCGUGACGGGACCGAAUCAGAAAGCCACGGCUAACUACGUG